GCUGGCGGCGUGCCUAACACAUGCAAGUCGAACGCUUUGGAGCAAUCCAGAGAGUGGCGGACGGGUGAGGAACACGUGGGUAUCUACCAAGAGGUGAGGAAUACCAGCGAGAAAUCGCUGACAAAACCGCAUACGUUCGGGAGACCGAACAAAGUCGCAAGACGCCUUUUGAUGAGCCUGCGCCCGAUUAGUUAGUUGGUGGGGUAAAAGCUUACCAAGACUGCGAUCGGUAGCUGGUCUGAGAGGACGAUCAGCCACACUGGGAUUGAGAACGGCCCAGACUCCUACGGGGGGCAGCAGUGAGGAAUUUUCGUCAAUGGGGGCAACCCUGAACGAGCAACGCCGCGUGCAGGAAGAAGGUCUUCGGAUCGUAAACUGCUUUUCUGUGGGAAGAGAACGGACGGUACCACAGGAACAAGCCCCGGCUAACUACGUGCCAGCAGCCGCGGUAAUACGUAGGGGGCAAGCGUUGUCCGGAAUUAUUGGGCGUAUAGGGCGUGCAGGCGGUCACAUAAGUUUGGAGUGACAGUGCUUGGCUCAACUGAGCAAGGCCUCUGAAAAC
This 562-nucleotide ribosomal RNA is filed under the name uncultured bacterium. RNAcentral describes it as "bacterial SSU rRNA". It matches the Rfam family "Bacterial small subunit ribosomal RNA", at positions 35 to 633 of the family's 1533-position model. The record is from RNAcentral.